UACAGAGGUCCCAAGCGUUGUUCGGAUUUACUGGGCGUAAAGGGUGCGUAGGUGGUCGGGUAAGUGUGAUGUGAAAUCUCCGGGCUUAACCCGGAAAUGGCAUUGAAUACUAUUCGGCUGGAGGGUUGGAGGGGGGACUGGAAUUCUCGGUGUAGCAGUGGAAUGCGUAGAUAUCGAGAGGAACACCAGUGGCGAAGGCGAGUCCCUGGACAACUGCUGACACUAAGGCGCGAAAGCGAGGGGAGCAAACAGG
This 253-nucleotide ribosomal RNA is filed under the name uncultured bacterium. Its description in RNAcentral is "partial 16S ribosomal RNA". It matches the Rfam family "Bacterial small subunit ribosomal RNA", at positions 524 to 776 of the family's 1533-position model. The record is from RNAcentral.